AGCUCCAAUAGCGUAUAUUAAAGUUGUUGCAGUUAAAAAGCUCGUAGUUGGAUCUCGGGCGCCGGCGGGCGGUUCGCCUCGCGGCGGUUACUGCCCGCUCCGGCCCUACUCUGGCGGUUCACUGCGGUCGUGCUCUUCACUGAGUGCCUGCGGUGUCCGGCACAUUUACUUUGAAAAAAUUAGAGUGCUCAAGGCAGGCGGAACGCCUGAAUGAUGCUGCAUGGAAUAAUGGAAUAGGACCUCGGUUCUAUUUUGUUGGUUUUCGGAACUUGAGGUAAUGAUUAAGAGGGACUGCCGGGGGCAUUCGUAUUACGGUGUUAGAGGUGAAAUUCUUGGAUCGCCGUAAGACGAACAACUGCGAAAGCAUUUGCCAAGAAUAUUUUCA
RNAcentral lists this ribosomal RNA (385 nucleotides) under uncultured eukaryote. RNAcentral's name for it is "SSU rRNA". It matches the Rfam family "Eukaryotic small subunit ribosomal RNA", at positions 587 to 972 of the family's 1831-position model. The record is from RNAcentral.